Molecule: ribosomal RNA, 600 nt
Filed under: Chryseobacterium sp.
Lineage: Bacteria; Pseudomonadati; Bacteroidota; Flavobacteriia; Flavobacteriales; Weeksellaceae
Description: bacterial SSU rRNA
Rfam family: Bacterial small subunit ribosomal RNA
Source: RNAcentral
AGCUGAGCGGUAGAGAUCUUUCGGGAUCUUGAGAGCGGCGUACGGGUGCGGAACACGUGUGCAACCUGCCUUUAUCAGGGGGAUAGCCUUUCGAAAGGAAGAUUAAUACCCCAUAAUAUAUAGAGUGGCAUCACUUUAUAUUGAAAACUGAGGUGGAUAAAGAUGGGCACGCGCAAGAUUAGAUAGUUGGUGAGGUAACGGCUCACCAAGUCGAUGAUCUUUAGGGGGCCUGAGAGGGUGAUCCCCCACACUGGUACUGAGACACGGACCAGACUCCUACGGGAGGCAGCAGUGAGGAAUAUUGGACAAUGGGUUAGCGCCUGAUCCAGCCAUCCCGCGUGAAGGACGACGGCCCUAUGGGUUGUAAACUUCUUUUGUACAGGGAUAAACCUUUCCACGUGUGGGAAGCUGAAGGUACUGUACGAAUAAGCACCGGCUAACUCCGUGCCAGCAGCCGCGGUAAUACGGAGGGUGCAAGCGUUAUCCGGAUUUAUUGGGUUUAAAGGGUCCGUAGGCGGAUGCGUAAGUCAGUGGUGAAAUCUCACAGCUCAACUGUGAAACUGCCAUUGAUACUGCGUGUCUUGAGUGAGGUUGAAGUAG